CUCUGUGAAAUUAAAGCUCAAUUAGUGGGUUAUAUAAACCAAAGAACUAAGUCGCUUCUCUUCUUCGCAGACGCAAAUCUCAGUUGAUUUUGAAGGUAUAAGCGAAUUAUCAAGUUUUGGUUGCUUUCUGAAGUUGAAAAAUAAAUCUCCGUGGGAUUUCUAGAUGGGACUGUCACUUUUACCAGGCUCGAGUCAGUUUUGAUUUCCCAUUCAUAAGUUCAGGGAUGUAAGUGUUAAUGAUCGAUGGCAGUUAAAUGAUGUUGUAAAGAACUCUUCAUGCACGCUUAAUCAACCCAAUGUUUAGGGACCAACCAUUCCUCGGUGGGAUGGAGUUGGUUAGCACGGUGUAUGGCAGCACGACCAUGGACUCGGGGACUCCGGAAUCAUUAGCACUGAUAAAGAACUAAUUGAACAGUCAUUAACAAAAAUAAAGGAAACGCAAAGCAGUCCUCUUUCUCUUCUCAUGGCAGCUUUAUGAUCCGCAAAAGAAAAAAGGAAAAAAAACACGAUUUUAUGCCGCAAAGAGUUCAACAAGUGAUUCUUUUUUUUUUUG
Molecule: long non-coding RNA, 553 nt
Organism: Papaver somniferum (opium poppy)
Lineage: Eukaryota; Viridiplantae; Streptophyta; Magnoliopsida; Ranunculales; Papaveraceae
Exons: 4
Source: RefSeq, a predicted model, not a curated record